CCCGCCAAAAUGCCCUUGUAGUCUCACCAACCACCGUCGCACCAACACUCGUAAGUUCAUCAUCAUCGUUUUCAUUAGCUAAUAAUGGCAAUAACAAUAGUAGCCGAACAUUUCUGUCUCCGCAAUUGUAUCCAAAAGACCCAAGUUCGCUCCGAUCUGUAGCUGUCAGAUCCAAUUUGAGUUUUCCUCUUAUUUCUCCCAACGAUCGAUGGGGCACCUGGACCGCUCUCUGCGCAACCGGCGCUUUUGGUAUCUGGUCGGAGAAGACCAAGAUUGGAAGCGCGUUGAGCGGUGCGCUAGUGAGCACCUUAGUUGGACUUGCAGCUAGCAAUUUGAGGAUCAUUUCGUGUGAAUCUCCGGCUUACUCUAUUGUUUUGGAGUUUCUGCUCCCUUUGGCAGUUCCAUUGUUGCUGUUCAGAGCGGACAUGCGUCGUGUGAUUCAGUCCACUGGGACACUUCUCUCGGCUUUCUUGCUAGGAUCAGUUGCUACAACAGUUGGGACAUUGUUGGCAUAUUGGAUUGUGCCAAUGCGAUCACUUGGUGAGGAUAGUUGGAAAAUAGCAGCUGCUCUCAUGGGAAGACACAUUGGCGGAGCUGUCAAUUAUGUUGCCAUUGCGAAUGCUCUUGAAAUGUCUUCAUCAGUUUUAGCUUCUGGACUAGCUGCAGAUAAUGUUAUUUGUGCAAUGUAUUUUACAACAUUGUUUGCGUUGGCAUCUAAAAUACCGCCUGAGUCUUCAACAGAAACUAAUGAUGCUCAGAUGGAGAGUGGGUCUGAACCUAGCAACAACCUUCCUGUUCUACAGCUCGGUACUGCCCUUGCAGUGUCCUUUGCCAUCUGCAAGGCUGGUUCUUACGUGACAAAGUUUUUUCAGAUUCAAGGAGGUAUCCUCCCAGCUGUAACAGCCAUUGUUGUUGUCUUAGCAACUGCAUUUCCAACCCCUUUUAAUUACCUUGCACCAUCUGGAGAGGCUAUAGCUUUGAUUCUGAUGCAGGUAUUUUUCACUGUGGUGGGUGCAAGUGGAAACAUAUGGCAUGUGAUUAAAACAGCGCCCAGCAUUUUCCUGUUUGCUCUUGUACAGAUUACCAUCCAUCUGGUGGUGAUCCUUGGAUUGGGAAAGCUAUUUCGCUUUGACCUAAGGCUAUUGCUUUUGGCAUCAAAUGCUAAUGUCGGAGGCCCUACAACCGCAUGUGGAAUGGCCACGGCCAAAGGGUGGAGAUCCUUGGUUGUUCCUGGUAUUCUUGCUGGCAUUUUUGGAAUCGCCAUUGCAACUUUUCUUGGAAUUGAUUUUGGAAGGAGGUUUCUGAA
RNAcentral lists this unclassified non-coding RNA (1306 nucleotides) under Hevea brasiliensis (rubber tree). The record is from RNAcentral. Lineage: Eukaryota; Viridiplantae; Streptophyta; Magnoliopsida; Malpighiales; Euphorbiaceae.